UAGGGAAUAUUGGACAAUGGGUGAGAGCCUGAUCCAGCCAUGCCGCGUGCAGGAAGAAGGCGUUAUGCGUUGUAAACUGCUUUUGCCAGGGGAUAAAAUGACCGUGCGCGGUUAAUUGAAGGUACCUGGUGAAUAAGCCACGGCUAACUACGUGCCAGCAGCCGCGGUAAUACGUAGGUGGCAAGCGUUGUCCGGAUUUAUUGGGUUUAAAGGGUGCGUAGGUGGCCCUGUAAGUCAGUGGUGAAAUAUCUCAGCUUAACUGAGAGGGUGCCAUUGAUACUGCAGGGCUUGAGUACAGAUGAGGUAGGCGGAAUUGACGGUGUAGCGGUGAAAUGCAUAGAUAUCGUCAAGAACACCGAUAGCGAAGGCAGCUUACCAAGCUGUAACUGACACUGAGGCACGAAAGUGUGGGGAUCAAACAGGAUUAGAUACCCGCGUAGUCCCUGAGCGGGCUGGCAAGGCGCAU
This 466-nucleotide ribosomal RNA is filed under the name uncultured bacterium. RNAcentral's name for it is "bacterial SSU rRNA". It matches the Rfam family "Bacterial small subunit ribosomal RNA", at positions 355 to 825 of the family's 1533-position model. The record is from RNAcentral.